CGUUAUUCGGAAUUAUUGGGCGUAAAGGGCGCGUAGGCGGCUUGGCAAGUGGAGGGUGAAAUCCCUCGGCUUAACCGAGGAACUGCCUUCCAGACUGCUUUGCUUGAGGCCGGGAGAGGCGAGUGGAAUUCCCAGUGUAGCGGUGAAAUGCGUAGAUAUUGGGAGGAACACCAGUGGCGAAGGCGGCUCGCUGGACCGGUUCUGACGCUGAGGCGCGAAAGCGUGGGGAGCAAACGGG
RNAcentral lists this ribosomal RNA (238 nucleotides) under uncultured bacterium. RNAcentral's name for it is "partial 16S ribosomal RNA". It matches the Rfam family "Bacterial small subunit ribosomal RNA", at positions 539 to 776 of the family's 1533-position model. The record is from RNAcentral.